GGAUGUGAGGUCAUCUGGCUGCAACGUCUGCCACCCCAUUCAUCGCCCGGGUUUAUUUGGCUGAUCUGGCUGGCUAGAUGUGUGUUCCCUUCCUCCCUCACUGCUCCAUGUGCGUCCCUCCUGAAGCUGUGCGCUCGGUCAAAGAGGACAGUCUUCCCCAAUAGAGACGGACCGGUCUUCGGUCGAGGGUAUACGAGUAGCUGUGCUCCCCUGCUAGAACCUUCAAACAAGCGCUCAAGAAAUGUAAUGGAGGGAGUCGGGCUGUAGCGCAGCGGGUUAAGUGCAGGUGGCGCAAAACAC
RNAcentral lists this small nuclear RNA (300 nucleotides) under Erinaceus europaeus (western European hedgehog). Its description in RNAcentral is "7SK RNA". It matches the Rfam family "7SK RNA". Rfam says of the family: 7SK was discovered as an abundant small nuclear RNA in the mid-70s but a possible function has only recently been suggested. The record is from Rfam by way of RNAcentral. Lineage: Eukaryota; Metazoa; Chordata; Mammalia; Eulipotyphla; Erinaceidae.